Molecule: transfer RNA, 76 nt
Filed under: Amborella trichopoda
Lineage: Eukaryota; Viridiplantae; Streptophyta; Magnoliopsida; Amborellales; Amborellaceae
Description: tRNA AMTR_s00102t00276170
Rfam family: tRNA
About the family: Transfer RNA (tRNA) molecules are approximately 80 nucleotides in length.
Source: RNAcentral
UGGGAUUGUAGUUCAAUCUGUCAGAGCACCGCCCUGUCAAGGCAGAAGCUGCAGGUUCGAGCCUUGUCAGUCCCGA